This 533-nucleotide ribosomal RNA is filed under the name Irpex laceratus. Its description in RNAcentral is "eukaryotic LSU rRNA". It matches the Rfam family "Eukaryotic large subunit ribosomal RNA", at positions 112 to 651 of the family's 3401-position model. Lineage: Eukaryota; Fungi; Basidiomycota; Agaricomycetes; Polyporales; Irpicaceae. The record is from RNAcentral.
AAUUUAAAAUCUGGCGGCUUUGGUCGUCCGAGUUGUAUCCUAGAGAAGUGUUUUCCGCGUUGGACCGUGUAUAAGUCUCUUGGAACAGAGCGUCAUAGAGGGUGAGAAUCCCGUCUUUGACACGGACUACCAAUGCUUUGUGAUACACUCUCAAAGAGUCGAGUUGUUUGGGAAUGCAGCUCAAAAUGGGUGGUAAAUUCCAUCUAAAGCUAAAUAUUGGCGAGAGACCGAUAGCGAACAAGUACCGUGAGGGAAAGAUGAAAAGCACUUUGGAAAGAGAGUUAAACAGUACGUGAAAUUGCUGAAAGGGAAACGAUUGAAGUCAGUCGCGUUAGCUAGAACUCAACCAGGCUUGCUUGGCGUAUUUUCUAGUUAACGGGCCAGCAUCAGUUUUGACUGCAGGAAAAAGGCCAGGGAAAUGUGGCACCUUCGGGUGUGUUAUAGUCUUUGGUCAUAUACUGCGAUUGGGACUGAGGUUCGCAGCACGCGCAAGCUGUGCUUAGGAUGCUGGCGUAAUGGCUUUAAACGACCCG